AGUGAACGUUGGCGGCGUGGAUUAGGCAUGCAAGUCGAGCGAGAACCGUAGCAAUACGGGGACAGCGGCGAAAGGGACAGUAAUGUGUAGGUACCUACCCCGAGGUCUGGGAUAGCUGCGGGAAACUGCAGGUAAUACCGGAUAAUGUCUUCGGACCAAAGGUGUGAUUCCACCUUGGGAGGGGCCUGCAUCCUAUUAGCUGGUUGGCGGGGUAAUGGCCCACCAAGGCGACGAUGGGUAGCGGGUGUGAGAGCACGACCCGCGUCAUUGGGACUGAGACACUGCCCAGACACCUACGGGUGGCUGCAGUCGAGGAUCUUCGGCAAUGGGCGAAAGCCUGACCGAGCGACGCCGCGUGCGGGAUGAAGGCCUUCGGGCUGUAAACCGCUGUCGUAGAGGAGGAAAUGCAGGUGGGUUCUCCCAUCUGUUUGACCUAUUCUAGGAGGAAGUACGGGCUAAGUUCGUGCCAGCCGCCGCCGUAA
This 482-nucleotide ribosomal RNA is filed under the name uncultured bacterium. Its description in RNAcentral is "partial 16S ribosomal RNA". It matches the Rfam family "Bacterial small subunit ribosomal RNA", at positions 28 to 523 of the family's 1533-position model. The record is from RNAcentral.